This 1532-nucleotide long non-coding RNA is filed under the name Salvia miltiorrhiza (redroot sage). RNAcentral's name for it is "long non-coding RNA (SMIL_LNC005229)". Lineage: Eukaryota; Viridiplantae; Streptophyta; Magnoliopsida; Lamiales; Lamiaceae. The record is from RNAcentral.
UUCAACUUAAAUUCCUCGAGUUGUUUGGAUUCUCUUCCUCUGUAGUGUGUGGUUGAGUCACCAUGAAUUUAGAGUAAAUCAGCUGUGUUGUUUUAUUUAGGAUGAUGUCCGACAAUGGAGUUGGGGGACGUCAAGGAAGCCUUCAACAAAUUCAUAAUCUAACAAUAACAUGAUAUACACAAAUUAAAUAAAUAACUAGUUAUAACAAAGAUUGAGAUUAGAGAAAACCAAAAAUUACCUCAGUGAAGCCCAAAUCCACCUUGAUUUGCUCGGCGUUAUCCAUGUCUGUAAUGCCAAGAUAGCUAAUGACGCCUAAGAGUCCUGUCUCACUUGGAAAUAUGUGGAGAUCAUCAGAAUUAAGAAAGAUGAUGUAUUCAUGGUGAAAACUCCAUCUCUAGAUGCAGCAGCUUCAGAUCCUUUCUUAACUACUUCUAUUUCAUGUACCAUAUAUGAGCAAAAUUUGCUACUCUUACAUGAUCAUAGAGAUGCUUACGCUACGAAAUCUAAAGCUGAGGUGAAGAACAAUAGAAAUAUUCAGCAGGCUAGAAAAUCAGUGAUGUCGAGUUUCAGCCUCCCGUAUUCAUCUUCCAAUGAACUUGUUGGAUCAAGCAGAGUCUGCUUAGCUCCAUCAGUCCAGAGUAGGAACUGUCGAGAUUUACUAAGCUACGGUAUAAACUGCUUAAGCUACCAAUGGAAGGCGCCUCGUCUCCAUAGUGCUUCUCGAGGACUUUCACAAUUCUUCCCAAUGGCAAACUCAAGAAGCUUAACAAAAUGUCUGCAAAAUGGCUGUCGGAGUCUGCAAAGAGUACCUUAGUUCUCUCUUUAUUGAUCAUCACUUUCAACGAAAAUGUAGCACCCUUUUUAUCAUCAGUCAUUCUUGAAUUUGAUACAGAAGUCGUCACUGCACUAAUUAGUUUAUAUGUGUAUUGAUCUAAUAGUAGAAUAUAAUUAAUGUUUGAGGUUAAAGGUAUCAAGAUUGCUAUUUGGACAUAAUAUGUUCAUAUAUAAAAUGGUCAAAUAUAUAAAAAUCGAUUAAUUUAAAAAUUUUGGCUCAAAAUAAAAAAGGAUUUACUUAAUUAAAAAUAAAGACAGCUACAAUGUGAACAAAAUUUUAAAACUAGCUAAUUUUUUUUAUUUUUUUAAAUCGAAAAUUUAAUAUUAAUUUUAUUUUGUAUUAUUCAUUCAUGGACCCAAAAAAACCCAUCUUUUCGUCAAAUUCUGUCAUUAUUCAAAACCAAAAUCUAGUUUCCUGAGAGUCCAAUUAAAUCCUUCAUAAAGACUAAAAGAAGCUCGAAUUAAACAUCUCUUACUCGGGUAAUUCUAUCUAUAUCAAAGCCUAUUUUUCAGAAAAAAAUUAAAAUUUAGUGUAUUUUAUUUCAAAUUUAAAGAUUGCGAGCAAAAUCAAAAUACCGUCUAAAUUAUGUAUUUUGGGCAAUUUACCAUAAACAUAGUAGUAAUUAACUAAUUAAUAACAAUUAAAAAUAGCACAGUGUGAACAAGAGAUGAAUAAGUCAAGAAUUACCUGAUUUCCA